AUGGCCAGAUUUCUGUUGGAACCAGUGAGGACAGAGGCCAGUGAUGAGUGCCCCUGCACUGGAGCUGCAGGUCAAGGCUCCCUCUCCCAGGAUGUGGUGACUCAGCCUCCCUCUGUGUCUGCAGCCCUGGGGAGCUCGGCCAGACUCUCCUGCACCCUGAGUAGUGCGUCCAGUCGUUAUGCUGUUGGUUGGCACCAGCAGAGCCCAGGAAAGCCCCCUCGGUACCUCCUGUAUGUUGAUAGCAGUGGAGGUACAGGCAGGGCCGACGGGAUCCCUGAGCGCUUCUCUGGCUCCGGAUCUGGGACUAACCGAUUCCUGUCCAUCAGCAACGUCCAGCCUGAGGAUGAGGCCGAUUAUUUCUGCCAGUCGUAUUACUACUCUGGUGGUAGCUAUCCUUAUACACAGUGA
Monodelphis domestica (gray short-tailed opossum) is the source of this 408-nucleotide non-coding RNA. The record is from the annotation of a RefSeq genome assembly. Lineage: Eukaryota; Metazoa; Chordata; Mammalia; Didelphimorphia; Didelphidae.